AUACGGAGGGUGCGAGCGUUAAUCGGAAUUACUGGGCGUAAAGCGCGCGUAGGCGGUUUGUUAAGUCGGAUGUGAAAUCCCCGGGCUCAACCUGGGACCUGCAUCCGAUACUGGCAGGCUAGAGUCUGGUAGAGGGGGGUAGAAUUCCUGGUGUAGCGGUGAAAUGCGUAGAUAUCAGGAGGAAUACCAGCGGCGAAGGCGGCCCCCUGGACUGAGACUGACGCUGAGGUGCGAAAGCGUGGGGAGCAAACAGGAUUAGAAACCCUAGUAGUCC
RNAcentral lists this ribosomal RNA (274 nucleotides) under uncultured bacterium. Its description in RNAcentral is "partial 16S ribosomal RNA". It matches the Rfam family "Bacterial small subunit ribosomal RNA", at positions 523 to 796 of the family's 1533-position model. The record is from RNAcentral.